Molecule: ribosomal RNA, 1063 nt
Filed under: uncultured bacterium
Lineage: Bacteria
Description: bacterial SSU rRNA
Rfam family: Bacterial small subunit ribosomal RNA
Source: RNAcentral
CAUGCAGUCGACGCUGAAAGCCUGGUGCUUGCACCGGGUGGAUGAGUGGCGAACGGGUGAGUAACACGUGAGUAACCUGCCCCUGACUUCGGGAUAAGCCCGGGAAACUGGGUCUAAUACCGGAUACGACUGCCGGACGCAUGUCUGGUGGUGGAAAGUUUUUUCGGUUGGGGAUGGGCUCGCGGCCUAUCAGUUUGUUGGUGAGGUAAUGGCUCACCAAGACGACGACGGGUAGCCGGCCUGAGAGGGCGACCGGCCACACUGGGACUGAGACACGGCCCAGACUCCUACGGGAGGCAGCAGUGGGGAAUAUUGCACAAUGGGGGAAACCCUGAUGCAGCGACGCAGCGUGCGGGAUGACGGCCUUCGGGUUGUAAACCGCUUUCAGCAGGGAAGAAGCGCAAGUGACGGUACCUGCAGAAGAAGUACCGGCUAACUACGUGCCAGCAGCCGCGGUAAUACGUAGGGUACGAGCGUUGUCCGGAAUUAUUGGGCGUAAAGAGCUCGUAGGUGGUUGGUCACGUCUGCUGUGGAAACGCAACGCUUAACGUUGCGCGUGCAGUGGGUACGGGCUGACUAGAGUGCAGUAGGGGAGUCUGGAAUUCCUGGUGUAGCGGUGAAAUGCGCAGAUAUCAGGAGGAACACCGGUGGCGAAGGCGGGACUCUGGGCUGUAACUGACACUGAGGAGCGAAAGCAUGGGGAGCGAACAGGAUUAGAUACCCUGGUAGUCCAUGCCGUAAACGUUGGGCACUAGGUGUGGGGGGCAUUCCACGUUCUCCGCGCCGUAGCUAACGCAUUAAGUGCCCCGCCUGGGGAGUACGGUCGCAAGGCUAAAACUCAAAGGAAUUGACGGGGGCCCGCACAAGCGGCGGAGCAUGCGGAUUAAUUCGAUGCAACGCGAAGAACCUUACCAAGGCUUGACAUACACCCGGACCGUCCUGGAAACAGGUCCUCUUCUUUGAAGCUGGUGUACAGGUGGGUGCAUGGUUGUCGUCAGCUCGUGUCGUGAGAUGUUUGGGUUAAGUCCCGCAACGAGCGCAACCCUCGUUCUAUGUUGCCAGC